UGGGGAAUAUUGGACAAUGGGGGCAACCCUGAUCCAGCCAUGCCGCGUGAGUGAUGAAGGUCUUCGGGUUGUAAAGCUCUUUUGGCGGGGACGAUGAUGACGGUACCCGCAGAAUAAGCCCCGGCUAACUUCGUGCCAGCAGCCGCGGUAAGACGAAGGGGGCUAGCGUUGUUCGGAAUUACUGGGCGUAAAGGGCGCGUAGGCGGCCUUCUAAGUCAGACGUGAAAUCCCCCGGCUUAACCUGGGAACUGCGUCUGAUACUGGGAGGCUUGAGUAUGGGAGAGGGAUGUAGAAUUCCAGGUGUAGCGGUGAAAUGCGUAGAUAUCUGGAGGAAUACCGGUGGCGAAGGCGGCAUCCUGGACCAUAACUGACGCUGAGGCGCGAAAGCUAGGGGAGCAAAC
RNAcentral lists this ribosomal RNA (401 nucleotides) under uncultured bacterium. Its description in RNAcentral is "bacterial SSU rRNA". It matches the Rfam family "Bacterial small subunit ribosomal RNA", at positions 355 to 773 of the family's 1533-position model. The record is from RNAcentral.